UUGGACAAUUUUUUUUCCAAAGGGCAUAUGAUAUUCCCUAUAUAUCAUUAGUUCAUUCCAAGUCUCUAAAACAUUUCUCAAACAUCCAAAAACUCUCUCUAAACCCUCUCCAAAAAUUCCACCAAGAUCAUCAACCAAAUUCAAGGAUCCCAAACUUUAAUUCCGGAUUCAAGAUUCAAUCUCAAGCAAUUCUCCAUUCCAAUCUUCAUCAAGAAUUCUCCAAAGUUGAGGUAUGUGGGUUGAUUGUGGAAACCUUCCUUUCCACAAGUCCAACCAUUUAUCCUCUAUUUUACUUCAAGUUUAUGGGUCCUUAUGAUCAUUUAUGAACUCUUGAAUUAUGGAAUUAUUACUACACAUCCUAUUAUGGUCUAUUUUUGUAUAUUAUCAUGAAAUGGAAUGAUUAUAUGAUGUUUAUGGUUUUCAUGCCUCCAUGAUCAAAUUAUGAAGGUUGUUAUAUAUGUAUAUAUAUAUGUAUGUUGUUGGUGGGCUGUUUUAUAUGGAUUUUGAAAUUGGUUGGACUUAGUACUCUUGAAACACAUGAUUUUAUUUACAUGAACAAGUAGCCCACCAUAUGUUUGAUAAAAUGCCAUUUAUAGAAUUCUUAUGAAAUGGAAGGUCCAAUGUACGUCCUAUGAGUCGGAUGAUUAUAUAAGUAUUGAAAUGAUGAUGAAAUGGAUACAUGUAUAUGAUUUUCUCUAUAUAGUGUGUGAGUCGACCAAGCCUAGCUCGGGGGGUUGUAGGCCCGGGUAACCGUAUCAAGGGGUUGGUACCUUGAUUGCCUAGUACGGGGGGUAGUAGGCCCGUAUAACCGUAUCGAGGGGUUGGUACCUUGGUUGCCUAGUACGGGGGGUAGUAGGCCCGUAUAACCGUAUCGAGGGGUUGGUACCUUGGUUGCCUAGUACGGGGGGUAGUAGGCCCGUAUAACCGUAUCGAGGGGUUGGUACCUUGGUUGCCUAGUACGGGGGGUAGUAGGCCCGUAUAACCGUAUCGAGGGGUUGGUACCUUGGUUGCCUAGUACGGGGGGUAGUAGGCCCGUAUAACCGUAUCGAGGGGUUGGUACCUUGGUUGCCUAGUACGGGGGGUAGUAGGCCCGUAUAACCGUAUCGAGGGGUUGGUACCUUGGUUGCCUAGUACGGGGGGUAGUAGGCCCGUAUAACCGUAUCGAGGGGUUGGUACCUUGGUUGCCUAGUACGGGGGGUAGUAGGCCCGUAUAACCGUAUCGAGGGGUUGGUACCUUGGUUGCCUAGUACGGGGGGUAGUAGGCCCGUAUAACCGUAUCGAGGGGUUGGUACCUUGGUUGCCUAGUACGGGGGGUAGUAGGCCCGUAUAACCAUAUCGAGGGGUUUGUACCUUGGUCCCUAGCUCGGGGGGUGGUAGGCCCGGGUAACCACAUUGAGGGGUUUGUACCUCUUUCGCCUCUCCAAGGGGGUGGUAGGCCUUGGAAAUACUAUAUUGAUGGUCACUCACCACACUUGUGCUACGUCCCACUAAAUAUGAUUUUUAUGUAAGCGUCAUUAUAUAUAUAUCGUUUCAUUAAUGUGCUAUCUAACGGGUAUUACUAUGCAUUUUCCUACGAUGUCCAUCUAUGGUAGCAUUGCAUUGCAUCCCAUAUACUUAGUACAUUCAAAUGUACUAACGCAUACUCUAUGCCUACAUGAUGUCACCAUGUAGGGACCGGAGCACCGCUUGACCAUCCUCCUCCGCGUG
RNAcentral lists this long non-coding RNA (1707 nucleotides) under Solanum tuberosum (potato). RNAcentral describes it as "long non-coding RNA (STUB_LNC011310)". Lineage: Eukaryota; Viridiplantae; Streptophyta; Magnoliopsida; Solanales; Solanaceae. The record is from RNAcentral.